RNAcentral lists this long non-coding RNA (11924 nucleotides) under Olea europaea (common olive). Its description in RNAcentral is "long non-coding RNA (OEUR_LNC005890)". The record is from RNAcentral. Lineage: Eukaryota; Viridiplantae; Streptophyta; Magnoliopsida; Lamiales; Oleaceae.
UACAAUCUUAAAUGUGCCCUAAUUAGAAACCCUUCAAUAAUAUACAACCAACUUGACGGCAUCUAAAAGUGUACUCACGAGCAGUUGAAAUUAUCAUAAAAUUCAAUGCAAUAUGGGCCCUUUUUGUACCACACUCUCAUCAAACAAACACAAUAAAAAGGCUCUCCAGUCCUUACAUUCUCACUACAAAAAAAAAUCACUCAACUGCUAUUUUUGCUUAUAAUCCCAAGUUACAAGGCCUAAUUUUCUAUUGAUUAUGGCUUCAUACAAGUGGUUCAUCUUCUUCUUUCUCAUUGCUCUAUCUUUGUCGAGUCUUGACAAAGUAUCAGCAGGUCGACCUCGUCACUUGGCACAAACAUCAAAUUAUCCCAGUUUGUUCGCGCCUCUUAUCCCCAACUUGCCACCAAUUACAUAUCCUCCGUUCCCUUUCCCUCCCACCGGUCGGCCCACUGUUCCUUAUGUUCCAUUUCCAAAUGUUCCACCUCCAGCAACUACUAGUCCAUGAAGGCAUUGUUUUCAGUACUCGACAUGACUCGAAAAUAAGAUUGUAGCUUUCUUAUCUACUUAAAUAAAUAGUUUGAGUACGUUACAAUUUAAAUUAUGAUGGUGUAAAUGUGUGCAUGUAUUGCUGUAUCUUUGUUAUCUUCUUCGUUCUCGUGUUUUCUACUGAUGAUUAAGAAUGAUCUAUGUUUUCUGUUAUAUUAAUAAUAUUGGGUUAUUGUUUCUGUGACGCGUAUUUUCUUGUUUUAAUUUCUUUGCUGAUAUGUUUAUGAUUUGGAACUUAAAUUCUGCUUUGUAAAGCCCUUUUAGUGUCGUGAAACUUUGUACGUUAUGUUAGGAAAAUUCUCCUACUAUUUCAUGCAAGAUUUCAUAGUAAACUUCUGAUGCAGUCCAAAAACACGAGAAUGCCGCGACUAAGACAGUUUUAGUUCUUUUAUUUAUCUAUAAUUGAGUCGAUAAUAAUUUUGAUAAAAAUUUAAGUCAAAGUCAAUAAUUAAUUUUAACCAUACAUUUUAUCGAGUCCACAAUUUUUUACUACAUAUUUGAUCAAUUUUUAUCAAAAUUUACUAACUAUCUGAUAUUUAACUACACCAAAUGAGGGCUAAGAUUUAAAUAAUAUUCAGUUAACUAAUAUUAAGUAUUAACCUAUGUUUGGUUUUGAUAAAAUCAGUUUUUAGUAGAUUUUGAUAAAAGAUGAUGAAAUGUGUGAUUGAAAAGUUGUGAGUGCCAUAAAAUGUGUGGUUAAAAUUAAUUGUUGACUUUUAUUUGAGAUUUUAAUUGAAUUUUAAUCCAAACCAAAGUGGGCUUAGUAUAUUUAGAUAAAAUUGAUAAAACGAGUGGUUGAAAAAAUGAUAAGAUCCUAUGAAAUGUAUGACUAAAAAAGAGUUAAAAAAAACUUUAGAAAAUGAAGGUCAAACCGAAGCUUAUGAAGAUGAGCUCGUAAAUAUGAAAUUGUAAUAUUACAUGGCCAAAAGAAUAGAUGGAUCAAUCUAAGGUAGGCUAGAAUUUGUGCUCUAGUCCAAAAACCUUGUUACUAGACAAGGGGGCUUACAAUUCACAUUGUGACUCGUUCUUUUGGUUGAACGUUCUUCGGACGUCAAUCAAUCUAUUAUAGCAUCUAGUGAAAAUUGUAGCAUUAGUCUCCACUUUUGAUUUAAUAGUAAAAAAACCCUCAUUCUGUAAUUUUUGAAUUUAAGUACCCAAUAUAUCAUUUCUAUUGCACCAGAUCUUCACUUAAAGGAAACCAUCAAAUUGACUGUUAAAAACUCAAAGUUUUAGCCCUUCAUUAUUUAAAAAUUUAUUUUCCUUAAACUCAUUUUCAACCACACAUUUUUUCAAUAAUAUGAUUUUACACCUAAACUUCAAACUUUUCCUAUUUUUUAUCACACAUUUUUCCAAAAAAUAAAUAAAUAAAAUACUAUUACAAACUUUUUUAGAGAAUUCUAUAUUAUUUUUAUGUGACAAACAAUUAAAAAACAAUACACAAAGAAAAAGAAAAGGAAAAAAAAAACUUCAUUUUCUACGUCUUGCCCUUCUCACCACUUGUCCCGAGAAAAUUUUUAAUAUUCCUGAAAUAUAGAAAUUCAAUACUCAGUUUCGCUAUUUAAUUGACAUGCAUAUUACUGAUCCCAAUUAAAUAAUGUAUUUCAGCUAUUUAAUAUACAUGCCAAUUAAAUAGUGACUCCAUACGCCAAUGGUACUAGGAUUUUCUCUACCUGCGCCAUCACUCCUUACCCUCACCAACGCAAUCUCUACAGUUCUUGCAACUAGUUCCCCUACUCCUCAUUGUUAAAAACUUUACUCUUAUGCUUGGAAAAUUGAGUUUAAGAUUCACUUCUAUGAAAAACCUUGGACUUUGAAAUACCAUGAAAUGAUUUUCGAAUAUAAAAUCGUUCAAAAAUCUUGGAUUUUGAAAGACCAUCAAAUAAUUUUCGAAUAUUUACAUUUUAUUUAUUUUUAAGUGAAAUUAUGCUCUUGUUUAGUAGAAUUUAAAAUUUAAAUUUUAAUCUAAGUCAAAUUCAACAACUAAUUAUAAUUAUAUAUUUUAUGGAACGCCCAAUUGUUGUUUCUCUAGUAUAAGUUUCUCCUUCAAAUAAUCCGAAUAUAUAGAUACUGAUAGAAUUACUCUAACGUAAUUUGCACAAGCUAACAAUGUGAUCAAUAGGAUAAAAAAAUUAAUUCGAGCCCACCGACUUCACUAUAUAUCCUUAAAACGAAUUUUCGGCCUUCACGGGUGCUAAAGAUAUUCAACAAUCAUUUUUCAAUAUAGAACGAAUUUCGUCUUCUACAAAAGCAACACAACAAUUUACAGGAGUUCCAACGAACUCAAGAAGUAUUUUACACUUCGAGAAAAAUAUCAAAACGAGAGAGAGGGAGAAUGAGAUUUAAAGCAGAAAAUGUUUGCAAUGAAAAUUGUGUAAUUAUUCUGGCAGUGAGGUAGGCUAUUUAUAAACUUGUUUGUGGUCAUUCGAACUUACUCUAAGCCUUUUCAGAACAGUCGUACCAUUCAAACAGCCUCCAAACUCGAACAAAAAGCUUAGUUCAAUACUGAAUCUGUUAAGUCGGUUAACAGACCAUCCAAAUCAAAAAAUUACCUAAAAAUAAGCCAAUCAAAAUAAAUUUCAUACAAUUUAGCCAAAAAAAUUCAAAUAAUUGUCCAAAUGCUAAUAAAGUGCAAUGACCCACCUGCACUCGCAGCGGACUCAGAUAUGUGCUCGUGUCGAAUUGAGCUGAGUCGAUUGACCGAACGACGACAAUGUGCCUAUGUGGGCUCAUGACCGAAAUCGAUAGGAUAUAGGUCUCUCUCCUUCCAAAGAUUAUUGGUACCUCUUGGAGUUGAAACACAAUUCUCAAACUUCCAUCAUAUAAACUAUACCAAAGUUUUCUAACUUUCUUAUAUGGGACAAGUGUUUGACAAAUUUUUAAUAAAUCAAAUUCUUCAUUAAUUCAUACUUUCAAGUGGGUUACUUUGAAAUUAAAUAUUUCAUUCAAUUCUAAAUGAUUUUCGAUAAAUAAAUAUAUCAUGUUAAUCAUCUCGCAAAAUAGAACGUAAAUAUACUACGUCCCGUUAAAAUCAAGUAGGGUCCCACUAAAAUUUGGGCUCAAAGUUGAUCAAUUUCACUAAUAAUAACCAUUUUCCAACAUUUCUUAAUCGGAUUAAUUUCACAAACGGUCACUAAACUUACGCGAAAAUUACAAAACGUUCAUUGAAGUUUAAAACUUUUAGUAAUGGCCACUUAAGUUUCGGAGUGCUUUCAAAAAGGUCACUGAAGUUGAAAAACUUUCAGAAACGGUUACCGAAGUUUAAAAACUUGUAGAAACGGUCACUGAAGUUUAAAAACACUUUUUUAGUUUUUUGGGUUACUUUUGUGGAAACUUUUCGGUCACUUCCGACCAUUGAUACCGUCGAAUUUUGAUACUAUUGGGAAAUCCACAAUUGACAGAUUUGAGACAAUACUUGCACUUAUGACUAAUUAGUCCACUAACAGGAAUAAUUAUGAUUUGAUUAGAGAUUUUGGUUGUAUUCAAAUUCCAGAAGUAAAUAAUUUAAAUUAUUCGAUUAAUAUGCGCUAAUUUAGUCGACAAGAUGACGUCCAAGGUAUUCUAAAAGUAGCUAAACAAAAUUUAAAUAGCUCGAUUUUUUAUGUUUAUAUCUUUUGAUUUUUUUUAAUGAUAUUUGAGCAAAGAGAAAUAACAUUUAAACCGGAAUCAAACUUCUUAAAUUGGAAUUGAUUCAAUUCCAAAAUAUAAAAAAAAAUAGAAAUAAAAACUAACCUGCUUCGUGUCAAAUCUUGACUUGAAUCGGAACAGUGAGUUCUCGACUUUGGAACUGAAUUUGUCAUUUUUAGAAGUUUUUAAUUUUUUUUUUAAUGACCCAAUCCAACAAAUAGCACGUUCGCAAGGUCCAACAAGUAGCUAGUUACCAAAGCUCAAGUAGUAAAUACCCUAGUCAAUCAUAUUCAUUUUCAUUUUUUACAGACUUUACUUUAAUUUUCAUUUUCUAGCAGCGAAUGUCUCUAAUCUUUCAUAAAUAUGCACCCGAGGUCCAUUUGGACGAAAACCGUCCAAAACACCGUCAAUUGACUAGAAAAAUUCCUUGAACUACGUAUUAACGUGACGAUUUUAUUGAAUGUUGAUACCUUUUUGGAUGAUAUUUUUGGACGAUGUUUUGAAUGAGUUUAUUGGAUGUUAAUUCUUUAAUUCUCCUAGUCAACUAACAGUGUUUUGAACGGUUUCGGCUCAACUGGACCUCAGGUGCAUAUUUAUGAAAGCUGGCACGAAAUAAAAGUUAGGGUAAAGCCUGCAAAAAAUGAAAAGAUUCGAGAUUGCUGCUACAAUUUUCCCUAUAUUCUAUCGCCUUUUCUCUCCAAUUAUUGAAACAAUGAUGAAUAUUUAUUAAUAACAUUUCACUAAUUAUGAAAUCCCAUAUUUCAAACAGAAGCUUUCGUGAUUAGAAUUUUCCAAGUACUACGAAAAUGAAAAAGAUAAAUAUUUUGAUUUUAUUUCCUUGUACAAGUAAAUAUAGGAUAACAGGUUAUGAAUAAUGCAUUAAAGUGACCGAACAACAAUUAUCACACUUAACUCAUAUAUUUAAAUACAGGAAACUUUUUUGCUAUUUUCAUGAUUCUACAAAAGUCCAUUACAUCAUAAAAUAUAAUUUCAUUGCCAAUUCAUUAUAAAAUAUGCAUCAUCAACAUGACAUGUACUGAUUAUCAUAAUGUUUCCUUAAUAAAAAUUCCUUACAGGUAAUUUAUGAUUUGUACGUGAGGUUUUAAAUUAGUAAAAUCGUGAAUUCUUUUUUAAUUGAUACUCAUCCAACUUUGCUAUAUUACCAAAGGGAACGCCAAAAAUAUUGACUUGCUAUUAAUUAAAUCAAUUACUGCUUAACAUAAGGAAUAGGUCAUGGUUCCAAUCAUGCAUGUGUAUAUUAAAUCUUUCUAAUAAUACUAAAUAAUAUAAUUUACUUUUAAUUUCAUUAAUACAUAUCAUAAGUUAAGCCCUUGUUUGAGCCACAUUAUAUUCUUAAAAAUGUAUUUUUGAAUAGUGUAUUAAUGGGAAAUGUAUAGUUAAAAAAUAAAGAAAAGUUUUGGAUUUGCGUGUAAUAUUAUUUUAUUGAAAAAUGUUAAUUUUUUGAAAAAAUGUGGCUCAAACAUAGUCUUAAUUUAAUAGGUGCAUUCUAGAACGUUCAAGGUACUAACUACUAUGAACAAAAUAAUUAGUCACGACAAAGGUAACUAUCAUAAUUAAACUAUAGAUGUAGCAUCAAUACAAUUAAUUUAGAGGACAUGAUAUUCAAAAGAAAUAAAAAUGCCGCAUCAUAGUUUUAAUCCCCACUGUAUAUGUUUUCCAUUUUGUCCCUCCAUAAACACGUGAAACACAGUUCAUAUUUUUACAGCAUUUUUAAUGGUUUCCGUAAACUGACGGCAAUGCUAUAUAAAUGACUAAUUAGAGGCUGAAAUAAGGAUGUUAACAAAUCGAGUCAAAACUUGAGGCUCGGACUCAGUCCGAGUAAAAAUGAUUUGAGCUUUUUUUGGACCGAGUUAUUGCUCGACCAAAAAAUUUAGUCUUGAUAUGAGCUUUCGACUCAGGCAUUAUAGAAUUGAGCCUGUUCAUUUUUCUAAAUAAAACACACUACCUUUUAAAAGCAGCAUGUUGUUACCUUUUAAAUGCAAGAGCUACUACCUGCAGGCAGCUACACUAUAUAUAUAUUAGGGUUAGCUUUUCACUAGUCAAAAAUGGCUUGAGCUGAUGAGCCGAGCUCGGGUUGACUCCCUAAAAUGGGGCUUGUCUCGAGCCUUGGCUUAGUAGAUUCCUGCCUGAGCCACUGGCAGCCCGAUUCAACGAGUCAAAUUGACAUCAUGGACGGAAAUGCCAAAAUAUAGAUUGAAGACCCCUCUCUAUUAUUAAGGCAAUAUGUUGGGGACUAAUGAUUCAAUUCCCUUUGUAUUUAGAUUAAAUGGAUUUCAUAUUCAGUGGUAAGUUAUGCAAUUAUAUGUAUACUUUAACGAGGAUCAAUUUCAACUUGUAAUAAUGUGAGUUGUAUUUUGUUCAAUUGUCAAAAAAUCUAAGGGCUAAAAAGUCCCUUUUUCAUAUUCAGUUGUAAGUUAUGCAAUUGUAUGUGUACUUUAAUUUUCUUUUUAAUUUAUUGAAUUUAAGCCCAUGGUUCAACUAAAAAAUUUAAUUAAAAUCUAAAUAAAAAAUAACAAUUAAUUUUAAAUACACAUUUGGUAGUCCCAUAAAUUUUCAACAACAUAUUUGGUAGUCCCAUAAAUUUUCAACAACAUAAUCUAUCAAUUUUUAUUUUUUUUUAAUCAAAAUCUACUAUAAAUUUGAUUUGUAUAUAAACCAACCAUAAACUAAAUGUUAAAUUCUCUUAUUGAAUAAAAGCGACGGCAUGAUUUCCAGCUGAUUCUUUACUUGCACACCUCUUUCGAAUCAACCAUCUUUAUAUGCUAGUAUUUAUCUGUUAUAAAAUUGAAGUUCCAGGACUUAUUUGUCAAAAUUGUACUGUAUUAGGUUGGGUAGUCGAGUCAAAUUAAGACUCAAUAGAAUGACUUCUAUUUGAGCUUAUAAUUUAUUAUUAAUCGCAAAUUUUAUGAGAAUCACAAUUUUUAUUGACUCUUCAAUUAUACAUUUCAUAAAAUUUUAUCAAAAUCAAAUAAAAAUUUAAAAUUUAGCCAACCAUCAGAAUAGCAAGUAAAUUCAGGGGUAUUUUGGUAACUUCAUUUUAUUUUCCAUCAAACAUUAACAUUUUGUAGCGAUAAAAUUAAUACACAUCAAAUCAAACCUCUACAAUUAUUCUCUCUUUUCGCCUUUUCUGUAUAUUUUCAAUCAAUUUCUGCAAAUUGCCACUUAAGGCUUCUUCAGUAGUGAUUGUGAAAAUUGAUUUGUUUGACCGUCAAAGAGAAAAGUUGAUUUCACUUGUGAGUGAGGAAAUAAAAAAUGACCGUUGAAAUAGUGAAAUAACGGUCAAAUUUUUUUUUUUUUGGAGUGAAAAAUUUCUCCCAAACGGGGGCUUAAUUUCAAGAGAGUAGCUUAUGGGUUGUGUCGAAUUGGGUUUGCUCUUAUAAAUAUGUUUCUUCAAUUCUGCCCAAAAAUUUGCACAAUUUUGCAUUAAAUUUUGCACGAGACUGAAGGAUGUAUUCCGAAUCUAUGUCGGAAUUGCACGCUUUCUUUUAGCUUGUAGUUUCACUCUCACUUUUGCCUUACCUUCUAUUAUAUUAGUAAAGGGUGAAUGAGGGAUGUGUUUCUUUUCAUUUUUCCCGGGGAUUUUUUGGGAUACUCCUGUGAUAGAUAGGGAUCUUUCUCUUGUUACGGGUUCAAUUCUAAGGGGAACCCUAGUUUGGGCUUUUCUACUUCGAAAUACUAAAAAAAGAUUACUACGCGAUUUUAGUAAUCUAUAUGCCCAUAUCGUUUUUCAAUCAUUGAAGCUUUUGGUUGGUAUUCUCUUAUUGUAGCUUUCUCUACUUCAGGCUCUUUUGAGGGCCUUAUGAUUAAACAGCUUAAAAAUCUACUAAACCAGCUGGUGAAAUUGAUUACGAUUUUUCCAUUUUUUUCUUUUUCUUUUUUUUUUAUUUUAAAAAUUUUAAUUUCAUGAAUGAGCCUCAGAAACUACAAUUCGAAGGAUCAUAGAGAAAUAUUGGAUAACAUGCUUUCCUCUCAAAUAGUUUUAUAAACUUUCAAUGUGGGAUAGUGCAUUUUAUAGAUACACUUCUCUCUAAUGAUUUCAUAAACCUUCAACGUUGAAUAGUGAUAUAACAAAAAAUGUUAAGAUGAUCAUCAAAAUCAUUUUUCAAAUGUAUGUCUAAUUAACUAAUUUAAUUUUUAAUUCCAACUAAGUAAAUUGUAAUAUCCACCUUCAUCUUUUCAUUUAUUUAAUUUUCAAAUUUAACUUAAAUUGCACUUGAUUAUUAGUAUAUUAAUGUUAGAUAUCAUUUUCUCUAAGUUUAAACUAUUUUAAUCUAACAAAGUAAAUUAUUUUAAUAUAUUGACUUUUAAUUUUUGAAGUAUUGAGACUAAUUGUAGAAUAAUGAAUUUAAUUAAUAAAUUUUUAAUAUGAAAUUUUUUAAAAAAUUAUUUUUUUAUAGUAUUUUAUUAUUUUUGUAUGUAUUUAUUGUAUUCGGUUUAAUCCCAGUUCAACCGUAGUUGAACUUUUUGGCUCUUGACCCUUCAUUUUUUUUCGAGUCGAUAAUCGGGUCGAUUUUCAAAACAUUGAUUUUUUGAGAUGGAUAACGAAGUCAUUGUACAAUGAUUUUGGAGAUUCUGAAUAAGUGUUUUCAUGCACUUUCUUUCUUGUGGUUAUUUCUUAUUUUUUUCAUCACUUAAGUUGAUAGUUACUUUGUUUAUAUGUUUGUUCAAAUGAAACCUACGAGCGUAAAAGAUCGUUGUACAAGUAAUAGAAAUAACGAGUUUCGAAUUUAUGGUUUCCAUGAGAAAUAUGGCUUAAAAUAUAGUUCAAUAGGUUCUAAAUUCGAAUGAGUAGUGAUAGCAAAGGAGUGAUUUUGUGGUUGUUUAUAAUACUUCCAACCUAUACUAAGUAAGUAAAUUGUAGUUUUAUCACAUGUGAAUGCUUGUAUUGGAUUCAUGAUUCUGCUUAUUUUCAUCUAUUUCAAUUAUCAAUUAAUAAUAUAGUUAAUUCAUUUGUUUUUGACAACCAAUAACAUUUAUAUGUUAAAUACUAAUUUCCAACAUACACCAACCUACGAUUAACACUAUUCGAUCCUAUUCCUAGUCCGAACUCAUACGAAAAGCAUGCAUUUAGUUUAUGUUAUCUACAUGAUUGCAAUUGCCUUAGAUGUUAUUCCUAAUACAUAUUGCUCAUGUGUUGAUUUUAUUGCAUUCUAAACUUAUCGUGAGUAUCCAUAUACUACAACAAGUAAUUAGCUAUUCAGCUGAUGGCCAAACAAUUAAAUAGUAUAAUGUGAACGCAAAAUUAAUCAAGAAAUACCUAAAUUAAAGUCUCAAAUUGAAAUAAACAAAAAUAAGGUUUAUCAAUCAUCCAAUACAACAGAAAAUUUAGCUAAACAUAUUUCUAAUGGUAAAACAAAAUGAAGAAUGGAAGAAUAUUACUCGAAAUUUAUAACUACAAGAAAAAGAGUCAUGGCCCAAUUCUUGUUAAUGAUUAUCAAUCCCAAGAUUUGAUUCUUCGACUUCUUGAUGUUUCUUAAUUCAAUCUCUUGCUAUAUUUGCUCUCCUCUCCAACAUACAUAUGUUGACUUUGCCCCUUGUUCUCGAAUUAUUUUAUGAUAUGGAUCUAAUUUGAGAGAUGAUAGAGAGAUCCUUCAAUGGAUGCCCAUCUCUUAUAUUUUUAUAUGAUGAAAUUAGUUUAAGAUUCAUGUCCAAAUUACCUUUCAAAAGAGUUUCAAUCAAAUAAGGAAAGUUGCCUUCGUACACGUGACUUUUUGUCUUUGCACAACCUUCAGUAUUUUUGUCAUAACUUUCUCUCAUGAUAUUCGAUCGAGGUGAUUCAAAGUAUGUUGAAAAAAUAACCCAAAGGGAUACAAUUAUUCUGAAUGUAUAAUUUUUCCAACUAGAACGUUUACUAUUAAAAAAAUGGGUCUCAAACUCCGGUUGAAAUUUUGGAAUGUCUUUUACGAUUUCUUUCAUCUAAUUCUUUUUCCAAACAAGAGUUUUUCCUAAUAAAAGCUAUAAAUAACAAAUUAGGCACUAAUCCGUUCAAGAAAUAACAAAAUACCAUCAUUUAGGACGUCAAAUAAGUGUAGAAAUAAUACUUAUCAAACUCAGAAACUUGAAUAUUUGUUUAGCUUGAAAAAUAGUUUUGAUGAGCAUUUUAACAUUUUUUUGCUAUACCACCAUCCCUUAUUGAAAGUCUAUGAAAACUAUUGAAAGAAGUGUAUCGAUAAUAUCACUUUUCCACAUUGAAAGUUUAUGAAAUCAUUUGAGAGAAGUGCAUUUAUAAACUGAGCAUUCCAUUCAAAAUUCAUCUAUGGGCCUUUGAUAAUUAUAAUGUAUGAGGCCUCUAAUAAAAAAACUUCAAAAUUUUUAAAUUAAAAAUUAAAAUAACGGACUAGUUCACGGUUAAACCGAUCUACAUGAUGGGUUUUGAGUGAUUUUUGUGCUAGUUGGUUAACCAGGCCCGAUUGGCCCAAUUUUUGAUCCCGUUCUACUGGUUGAACUGGCUGGAUCGGGCCAAUUUUAAUAACAUUGAUAAUUUUCAAUAAUGAAAAGUGGAAACCGUCUAAAGAGUGAUGAUUAGAAUUAUUACGGGGCUUUUGUUAAAAAAAAUGUGCCUUAAUUUAAAGUUUUAGAGCACUUUGAAGAGAUGAUGCUUAAAAUUAAUCAAAAGACUCUUUAUAUUAACUUUUUAAAGUAAAUAGUGGAUUUGGAGAGGCAAACUCAAUUUCUAUUCAUAAGUAUCGAUGAUUGGGUUUUAUAAUUUACGAAUUUUAAUACUCUAAAAUUUAAAUUAUUCAAAUCAAGUCAUUAACAUAUAAAAAAUUAUGUUACAUAAGCAAUGGGGAAAAUUAAUAAAUGUUUGCUGAAAAGAUUAAAAUAAAGAGUCGAGAUAGAAAGUAUCGUUGGACUACAUAAAAAGAUUUACUCUAUAAAUUUAUUUGCACAUCGAAACUAAGUUCAUAAAAUGGAAAAAUUCGUAAAUGCAUCAUUUGAAAAUAUUAUUUUAGGUUUUAUUCGAUAACCAUUAAAAUACUAAAAAUACAAUAUCCUUUUUUUUUCUUUUUUUUUUUUAAGACGGGGGAAUCCGGAACCACUACCGUUCGGGUGUACAUUGGAUAAAUCUUCGGAUAGACGCAAUAGCCGGCAAAUCACUCUAGCUAGGUAAAUCACAUUAGGCAUGCCCUGUGCGAUAGGGUCGACCAAGAAAGUGUUGGUAAGGGGAAUUGAACUCUUGACCAAAGAUCUUAACGCUCACCUACUCCACCAACUCGGCCAUCCCUUUAGGCGCAAAAAAAAAAAAAAUACCAUCUUGAUUAUGAAAUAUAUUAAAAAUCAUUGUUUUCUAAUAAUAGAACCCGCCUCCCCCUCCCUUGGAAAAAAAGAAAGAAAAUCAAAUCAAUAAUACUAAAAAUACUAUCUUGUAACCGAAAUGUUUUAAUACUCUAUCUUUCACGCCUCCCAUUUAACACCUCUUCUUUAAAAAGAAAGACAAUUCAAAAAUUUGACUUAGUUGAAGAAGAAAAAAGGCUUACUUUGAUUGACCACACUGUGAUUGUUGUACUCGACGGGAUCAUAGAUAUCGCCGUAUCUACAACCAAAAAUCUUGAUCUCGAAGCAGAUAUUUCACACUCUAAAUCAGUAUAUUUACGGUAAUGUCUCAGAUUUGGGAUGUGUUUUUCAUCUGGUUUACAUCUCACUCGUACAUUUGGAAAAAAAAUUUGGGGACUUGUUUAUAUAUACAAACUUUCAUUGAAUUGAUAGAAGAAGAAAAAAGGAAAAAAAAAAGA